GGUAGGGGUGUUAGGGCACGACACCGGAGAGGGAGCCUGAGAAACGGCUACCACAUCCAAGGAUGGCAGCAGGCGCGCAAAUUACCCAAUCCCGACACGGGGAGGUAGUGACAAUAAAUAACAAUACGGGGUUCUUUCGAAUUUCGUAAUUGGAAUGAGUACAAUUUAAAUCUCUUAACGAGGAACAAUUGGAGGGCAAGUCUGGUGCCAGCAGCCGCGGUAAUUCCAGCUCCAAUAGCGUAUAUUAAAGUUGUUGCAGUUAAAAAGCUCGUAGUUGAAUUUCGGAGUCAGUAGGUUGGUCAUGCCACUGGUAUGUACUGGUCUCACUGAUUCCUCCUUCCUGAUGAGCCGUAAUGCCAUUAAUUUGGUGUUGCGGGGAAUUUGGACUGUUACUUUGAAAAAAUUAGAGUGUUUAAAGCAAGCUAACGCUUGAAUACAUUAGCAUGGAAUAAUGAAAUAGGACGUUCGAUCCUAUUUUGUUGGUUUCUAGGAUUGACGUAAUGAUUAAUAGGGAUAGUUGGGGGCAUUAGUAUUCAAUUGUCAGAGGUGAAAUUCUUGGAUUUAUUGAAGACUAACUACUGCGAAAGCAUUUGCCAAGGAUGUUUUCAUUAAUCAAGAACGAAAGUUAGGGGAUCGAAGACGAUCAGAUACCGUCGUAGUCUUAACCAUAAACUAUGCCGACUAGGGAUCGGAUGAU
This 697-nucleotide ribosomal RNA is filed under the name uncultured Glomeromycotina. RNAcentral describes it as "SSU rRNA". It matches the Rfam family "Eukaryotic small subunit ribosomal RNA", at positions 358 to 1061 of the family's 1831-position model. Lineage: Eukaryota; Fungi; Glomeromycota. The record is from RNAcentral.